GCCCUAGUGGCACAAUGGUUAAGUGCUUGGCUGCUAACCUGAAGGUUUGUGGUUCGAACCCACCCAAUGGCU
Molecule: transfer RNA, 72 nt
Filed under: Loxodonta africana (African savanna elephant)
Lineage: Eukaryota; Metazoa; Chordata; Mammalia; Proboscidea; Elephantidae
Rfam family: tRNA
About the family: Transfer RNA (tRNA) molecules are approximately 80 nucleotides in length. Their secondary structure includes four short double-helical elements and three loops (D, anti-codon, and T loops). Further hydrogen bonds mediate the characteristic L-shaped molecular structure. tRNAs have two regions of fundamental functional importance: the anti-codon, which is responsible for specific mRNA codon recognition, and the 3' end, to which the tRNAs corresponding amino acid is attached (by aminoacyl-tRNA synthetases). tRNAs cope with the degeneracy of the genetic code in two manners: having more than one tRNA (with a specific anti-codon) for a particular amino acid; and 'wobble' base-pairing, i.e. permitting non-standard base-pairing at the 3rd anti-codon position.
Source: Rfam by way of RNAcentral